GGAGCGUGAAAGAACAGGAGUGUGUGCUGACCUGUCCCAAGAUACAAUACAAGAACAGCCUUCUAGACAAGCAGCAAACAGGUUGCCUGAUGACUGCAUUCUUUAUCUGAUUGCAUGUAUGGUAUAUAUAUGGAUAUUGCAAUAAAGGAGUUGUAGAAGCGUCACAAAACUCUCGCAUUGUAUCGUCCUUCCUGCACUGGACGCGGCAAGUGGUGCCCCAUGUGAGGAGCUCAGCCUUUGACUUCAGGGUGACAAACAACAGGCAGCUCGACGGAGGGUCCUCUUGGGAUUCCUAUGUGCUCUGUAAAGCCAUACCGUGAGCUGGAAAGAUCAGCCUCUUCAACCCAAUUCCACAGGCAGAGUAUCUGGCCAUCAACGGUAACUCAACAAAAAUACAGCGGCGAUCCCAAAGGCAAAGACAGAACCCUUGCUGCCUGCUUCACUGAUGACUGCCUCAGUUGUCACCCACAUUGAUUUAAACAAAAAAGUGGGAAAUGGAGCUGCGCUGAGAGACAGCUGGUUUCUUAAUUAAAAUUGUUAAGCAUAACAAACUAACAUAAAAGAAAAACAACGUAUGAUCAAAGCACAGCAAACUAACAGAAAAACAAUGCAUGAUAUUAAUUCUUAAGGAUCAAAGCAUGACGAGGGUCAGGUCAGCAGCUGGGGUUUGACUGUGGAAGAGUGGGUGGAACACCACCUUGGGCAAAUGCCAGAAAGGACAGGACUGAAAACAGUCACACUGCGUGCAAGGAGCGUGAAAGAAUAGGAGUGUGUGCUGACCUGUCCCAAGAUAUAACACAAGAACAGCCUUCUAGACAAGCAGCAAACAGGUUGCCUGAUGACUGUAUUCUUUAUCUGACUGCAUGUAUGGUAUAUAUAUGGAUAUUGCAAUAAAGGAGUUGUAGAAGCAUCAGAGAACUCCUGCAUUGUAUCAUCCUUCCUGCACUGGACGUGGCAUCAGCUCUCUCCAGAGAGACAGCAGCGGGUGCACGUGCUGAGGACUUAACAUGUAUCUGCCCAAGAGGAAUUUGCUCCUAAGUCACAUAUUUAUUAUUCUAUAAACCUAGCAGAAGGCACACCGUGAUACUGACAUUUCUCUGUGAUACUGAGCAGCUGCCACAGUUGUUUUGGCACAGAAUGAGCCGCAGAAAGCUGGGCCAUCAGGGCACCCACAGCUCCUAUUUAUUUCCACUGUGGGAGACAUGAUCAUAACAAUUUUAAUGAUCAGAGAAAAGGGUGUAGGAGAAAGCCUGGGAAUUCACCACACAGAAAGGGAAGAUGCAAGGUGAUGCCCACAGACAGGCUGCAAAACAGUCCUUUGAUGAACAUGGAGAUGCUGAACGCAGCUCUGCUGCCUUCUGCCCUUUGGGGUACAAUCACAGAAACAAGGAACGAUUUUGUUCACAGCAAACAAAACCCAAGCAAAUAAAACACAUUCCCAGUCCAGCAAGACGGAAGAGAGAAGCAUUUGGCUGUGUGCUAAUGAGGGAGCAGUGGAGACUUCAGCCAACAGCAGAGAACAAUUAAUUUUUACUGGAAAUAUCAGAACGUCAGAUGCUGAAAUACCAAAGCUUUGGAGAUGCGCGUGCCUUGGAUAUUGAUUUUCUUGUUACCUCUAUGUAGUUGAGUGCAGACAAGGGCAUGAGUUAAUCCAUUGCUAAACAUACUUCUAAAUCUCAUUCCUUUCCUCCCAGCUUUAGGAGCUAGGCCUGCAACAAAGGCGUCACUUCCUCACUUUCCAUCCUGAAGAUUAUAAUCUCAGUCCAAAGUGAAUAACUUUUAAUUCCCCAAAGUGCUCAGCAGCUAAUUGACAGCUUCCAGCACCACAGUACAGGCUAGCCAAGUGGGCUGCAAUGAUCUGGGAUGGGGAAAGUGGCUUAAAGAGGAUGUUCCAUUGCAACACUGCAUUCCAUUCCAACCCCUGGGAUGAGCAGCAAUAGCAUUCUUAUGGGCUUCCCCACUGCCAUGUCCUGCAGUAGCCUGCUGUUUUGGGACACAGUCCACCACCUGUUUUUACUUCGGACCCAAAGUAAGUAAAUUAUUUCUUCCUGUCAUUUAACUUCACAGUGGCUAUAAAUCUUAACUGAAAGACCAAGGUGCAGCACCAGGCAGCCUGCUGGCACAAAGCACAGGUGGCCCAGAGAAGCUGCAGAGGGAGUAGGAGCAGGGCAGCAAAUGAGGCGGGCAGCCCAGCAGCCAUCCUCCGCCAGCCCUUUUCUUGGCUGGGGGAGAAGGAUACUCUGCUUGCUACAACACAGCCCAACAUUCAGAGGAUCCCAAUUUUAGCAUCUGCCCCAGGCCUCCCACAACCUCUAGCACAACAUUUCAAAUUGUGUUAGUUUGGGAAAGAAGCAAACAAAAUUAGUGUGGGAAUUUUUGCUUUGUUUUUCUUUCUUCCCCUCAGGUGAUGCUCAAAAUAGAAAGCAAACAAAUGUCACUGCUGAUACACACAGCCCCCAAGGCAGCAAUGAGAUGCACAGGCACUGCCUGGCCCCUGUGCUUGAUCAUGACUCUGAUCUCCCAUCACCCCCGACAUUUUCAGGAGAGAAAAAAUGGCUCUUCUGGCUUUUUUUGAAGAUCAGAUUACGGAAGAUAAUCAAACACCUUCCCACUUGCACGCAGAUCCACUCGGUGAAUAACAAGAAUACCGGUAAUGGUUCGUUCUCAGUUUUUCAUCACUUUCUUUUCCCCAAUCGCCUGUGUAAUUUGCUCUGUCUGGCUAUUUCAAAGCACAUCUUUAUUAUGUCCUUUUACUCUAUUCAGAUCACCAUCUGUUUGUUUCAUUAGCAGUCUCACUUGAGUAGCGUGUAUUUAGCAGGGCAUUCAACACUCAAAAAUCAGAAGCCUUGGAAUCAACGUAAUCAAUUGGAAAAUGACAAAGUGCUAUUCCACAGCAUUUUUCAGAAACUGGUCUAAAAGCAAAAAGAGCCAAUUUCUUGAUUCUUUGCACUUCUCUUUUACCUUUAACUGAGAAUCACUAGCCUACUUGCAGACCGAACAAGAGCAAAUGCUUCCCGCAUUUCAAAGACAGGCUGUUAAGUAAUCAGGCUAAUCCUCCAUCGGCUCACUUAUUUAUCUGAGUGCUCAGCACUCAGCAAAGAACACCACCCCAGAAUAGCCAGCCCCUUCUGUCCCUCCUUCACUGGGAUAAAAUCUAGCAGAGAUUGCUCUAGGUUAGCAGUUCACAGGCCAGCUCACGUUUGAUUAACGAGAGGGCCGUCACACAGCUGAAAUCGAAAAAUACACAAUGCCAUAAAAUAAGCAAGCUUAAAAGGGGGUGCGUUUUUCAGCCACAGUGCCAGUGCCACACAGAAGACAAAGGAUCAUUUUUCACAUCUCCACCAGGGAGGCCAAGGUUGCUGGGACAUGAUGGCAACUCAUUGAUCUAGGAAAAGAUCUGACUCAUUUCUCGUUGACCCAGAGAGAGAGCAAUGAAUUCAGCUUCAUGUCUGUGUGCCCCCUUGUUAUGUAGUGCAGGAUUAAAAACAAGCCGAGCCUGAGAAGGAAAAGGAGACUAUUGCAUUGCAUUUGAUUAUAUUGGAUUGCAUUUGAUUAGUGUGUGAGAUGAGGGCAGCAUGACUGCUGGGAAAAAGAAGAGAUCAGGCAGAUGAGAAGCAUGAAGUGGCACACAGUGAUUUGUUUCUUCACUGGGCCAUUAACUCAGCAGUAACCACCUCAGAUGUUUUAUUGUUUUAGAUCCUGGAUUUGAAAGGUUCUUCCUUAGGAUGUGACUCCUAGACUCACCAGACCACAACCGAAGCUGUAAUUUCCUACUGGAUAAAACAAGACACUUGAAAAACACAAACACAUCGUAACUAAUAGACUGAUAAUUUGCAUGAAUCCAGUCUUCUUACAGAGUAUGCUAUUACUUCUAUCUGCACGGGCCGCUGACUACAAAAAAAUCACUGCAUUAAUAAAGAUGUGCCUCAACUCAACCUCCGGGAACGUCUGGUGUUACCAAGCCACUGCUCAUGUACUUCUAGGGAGAGACUUCUCCAAACUGCUGCCUCCGAAAAGACACUCACCUAUUCCCACUGGCUGCCUAAAGGCACAAGAAACAGGAGAUCUCUCGUGGGACAGGAAAGCCCAGCAGCCAAUCAAGCCACAGCAGCGCAGAAACCCACACCAGCUCCCUGGCUGCAAGCCAGUGGACAAAACUCACACAAGAUCAUCUCAUCCCCAUAUGCAAUAGAAUCGUUGGCAGAUGUUGGACUGUGAGAAUAUCCCAGAAAAGUUCAGUGAUGGCCUUUAACUGCUUGAACGGACUUCCAAAGCCAAAGCAGUCAAGUUGGCAGAUGUAAAAGGACAGCAAGGGCAGACUGCAGUCCUCAGACUGCAUGCGUGCUGAAACACCAGCUGCUCACCAAAGGGCAGCACCACGCAAAGUUGACAGAAGAGAUCUAUCCAGGGGUCCCAGUAAGACAAUAAAUGCUUCAAGGUCCCUUUGUUAAACUUUCAGACUAAACAGAGAUGAGGGCAGACAGACCCCACGACACUACCCUAGCAGUCGAGAGCAGUGGGGAAAAGCCUCCACUGCCCUCCAUGACCCUUUGCAGGGACCACUCAGUUGAUGGCCACUCAACAGAGACCGCGGUAUACACUCAGUUCCUGAUGACAUUUCAUGUUUAACAGUAAAAGCUCCAAGCUUUUGUUUAGCUGAUGACGCAGCCUUAAUGUCACCUAAAUCUUUAUUUUUAACUCCCCUUCACUUCCUCUCCAUUCCCUUUGGAUCUGUCACAGUCCAUUUGGUGAAGAUGAACUGUGUUGCUUCUGUGCUUGGCUCCCAUAAAUGUGGUGAAGGGCUUCCCGACUGGCUUACCUCUGGGGCUGGCUACCAUCCUCAGUCACUGGAAGAGGGAGAAGACCAAAGCCUUUGAUGGGAAAAUAUCCAGCAGUUCACGAUCUCCUCUUACACUGAUCUUGUCUCAGUGACCUGAAAACUAAAAAUCCUUGAAAUUAUUAAUCACUUAAAGGUUUUCUCACUUCAGAAGCAGGGCAGCAGGUCAAAACCACUCACAAAAGUCAACUCAGUGGGACAAGGGAUGAACCUGUUACAGACUGUGCAAGCUCAGUUCUGACUCAGCUUCCACUGAAAAAGAAAAAAAAAACUUCUUCAAAACGGUGUGAAAUCCUCAGGCGCGCCUAUACUGUUGAGCCUCAAGAAACUCAGUCAACAUGGCCAACAUCUCAAGCUGCUGGUACCACAUGGUAUGCUAUGGACUGAGUGCUGGGCCUCGCUGCUGGCUGCUCCACAGGGCCCUCUCUGACACACCAAUCCCCACAGCAGCUCCCAGGCCACGCGGGGUCUCACCACACGCCCCCAAGGAAAAACCAAGGGCAAAGGCAACUUCUGCCAUGCUGUGACCAGCAGCUAGCAGCACUAUGAGCUUCCAGCUGCCUUCUUUCCCAUCACCCCAGCCAGAUCCUUGCCCCAUAAGACCUUGCAUUAGGUGUGACAUCUCCAUGACUCCUUCCCACCUGAGGCAGCUGCCCAAAGCUCACACUGCUGUGCACCAAGCUUUUCUAUACUAGAAACAGAGAUCCUCUGCUUGCUCUAUCAGAUUAAUACAAAAAAUGUUGCCAGCAUAGGGGCAGACCCUUAAUAAUGAAUAAUACUUGCAACGUAGGCUUGUUUAACAAAAGGAAGGGUUAAUGUAUGACUGAGGCUGUCAGUAGAUAUUAGGGGAAACACCCAUCACAUCUCCAAGUUCCUGUCUGCUUCCACUGACUUUAAAGCAGAAUGUAUUUUGGAUAGUAUUAAAGUAGUUGGGCUCAUUAAAUGUUUAUGGUUUUUCUUUGUCUUUUGCAGACCACGGAUUUUUUUCUUCCUUUGGUCACCAUCACCGUGAGAAAUUAGCUCCUAAACUCUUAUUAAUUUUUUGCUGGUAGCCUUUAAUGGCCUUACACUUACAAGGCAUCCCAUUUAUCUGGCGACCGCCAGGCCAUGAAGGCACCAGGGCUCUCCCCCCAUGCCUCUUCCUCCAAGCACAGAUAAGAGCACAGUGAUUUUAAAAGCAAGACAUGAGAUGAAAGUGCCCGCUUCAGAUCAGACACUGCUGCCAUUCCAUAAUUAACUUUGCCUAUAUUUUCAAAGGAAGAAAAAAACAUCCAGAAAUCAUUUCAAACCACUCUCCCCCAUGUUAGCAUUCUCAUUCUCAAUACUAGUAUCAAUAAAAGAAAGUGGGGACUUUCUUCUUUUUCUUAAAUAAUAUUACCAAGUCACCUUCAAAGCACUAUCUUGAGAUCAUUUUUCAAAUGUCAGCAUAAAAGGCAGCCAGGUCGCUCUCUUCUCUCUGCAGUUUCUCUUAUCGCUUUGGGCUACUUAUACGCUCAGGUUGAAAAAGACACCUCUCAUUCCUAUCUCCCCCUGCUCCGUUCCCAACUGCGUAAAGCAAAAAAUCACUGUCAGUCAUCUGACAAGGUGUUUCUACAGCCCCCCACACCCAUACUCCUACCCUUCACACACUGAACUGGCAAGCUGCAUCUUUACACCAGCAUUACUUACGACAACCACUUUCAAUAAACCCUGGGUCCUUUCUGGGAGACAUUCACAGGCCACAUAUUUGUUGAUCUGUAGAAACCUACAGAAAUACCUACUCGAGAUUAAGCAGAAACUUACUGUAGAGCAGAAGCUUCCACACACUGAGCUACACAGAAUAACUGAUUCAGUAAGUCUGCAAAUAUAAAUAAUGCAAACAAGUACCUAGAGGUUAGAAGAAAACAUGGAAUUCAAAUCUUAGUUUCUAUUGCUGCCCUAAUUUUUACAAAAAAGAAGAGAACUUGAAAGAGUUACCUGCAGGUGCUGACUCUCUUUCGUCUUUUUUCUUAAAUGUGCAAGCAAAAUUGAAUGGAUUCAGCGGAUUAUAAAUGGGUGGGUAAAACAGCGCUUCCGAAUGGUCAGGAGGCUGCAUCUUGGAAGAUGACAGUUUGGUUAUUCUCAAAACUAUCUUGGUGUCUGUCCGUGUUUCAGGUGUUCUCACUUACAAAACAGUGCAAGUCUUCCUCCUGCCCCUGCAAUGAAGAAAAAGGAAGCGGAGUUAGCUGUUAAGAGUAACCAGAGUGGUUAGCUGCUUGAGAAACAUGACUUCAACAAAGCAAAUGAUAUUUAUCUAUUUUCCUGAAGGAAGGUGACAAUCAUUCCAGAAUUACAUUCACAUAUUUCAGGUAUCAGAUACCAGGGAGCCCAACUUGUGCUACGAAAGCCCCAACCGCCAUUGCUUUUAGCUGUGACUUCAGUCUCAGCACCAGGCCCUCUGGGGCUCAUGGCAUAGGAACUUCCAUGCCUGGCCAGGCAGUUUCUAGAGACCGGCUUCUCUAAUGAACAUCUGCUGCAUCUCUCAGGUGGGUGUGUUCCUCUAUUUCUGCAGAAGCUCAUUUAUAGCAUUAUCUACGUAAUCCAUGCCUGAACCAGCAUAUCUAACACAACACCUUGAAAGCAGGUAUUAAAGCCAGCUCCAUUACCUCUGAAGCAGGGCAUCUUCUAAAUCCACUUUGGAUAAUUCAUUGGUUCUGCUAACUCCUCUGCUCUGCACAGCCUACCAAGGGAUAACAAUAAAUGCAGCUCUUGCCUUUGCAUCACAUUUGGGUAAACAGAAACCAGCAAAAGAACAACUAAUUAUCAAUGAUGUUCCUAAGGUUGCAAACACAUUUACCAUGCAGCACUUAAAUAUCUUUUCUUCAGGUACAACAGGUGGAAUAGAAACGAAACACAAGUUGGAAACACCAGUUAUCAUCAAAAGUAGGGGGAAAAAAAACUUCCACACAGAACACCACACUGGAAAGGCAGCCUUCCCCACUGUGAAGAAAUCCUCUCAAAUGUACCCAGCUAAUUCCUUGUGACUUCGAUCACAAUAGCUUCAAUAAGCAGAUCUAUGCUGCUAAAACAAGAGACCGUGGUAUACAGCAAAGGCCGUAUGAAGAACAUUGCUCCUCUCUGGAAAGUACUGCACAGUAAAUUCUGGGUCUCUCAUUGCGUAUUCAGCAGUGACAAGAGAUAAAAUUAUCUCUGAUGUGAAAAAUUUAGGUCUCUCCUCCUUCCUAACAGUUACUAGCACGGAAGUGUAGGACUUCCACGGGUUACACCUGUAUUGACAAACAAACCAUACAUUCUUUCUCCUACUCCACACCUGUGCAAACAAGAGCUAUUUGAAUGCAUUGUUGGGCAAACAGCAUUUUCUAAGAUAACCCUGUCACAAACAAAUGAGAAGAAAAAUCUGCUGUCAAAUACAACAUCAUACUUCUUCAUCACUGUGCUGUGACAUGAUUCGCAUUUGUCAAGGAAACAGCAAGUAUUCCAAAUAACUGUGAUAGACCACUCACUCAUUCCAUCAAACUGACACUGCCAGAAUGCUGUUCUAGAAAUGAGCUGUUUUGGAUCAAACUGACUAUUACCUCUAUUGUUCUUAUACUGAUGAAGUCUCUUCUACUUUUGUACUGAGGAAUGAUCAUGGUUUUAAUUCGAAGGAGUUGCAGGCUGUGGUAUCAAGGAAUUAGGGUUUUUUUUGUUUUGUUUUUACUUCAAAAUGACUGGUAUGAAUUAAACUCAGGCGAGAACUACUUUAAAAAUUACUUACCUGUAUAGCAGUUGUUGGGAAGAGUAUAGGAACUGAUGGUCCCAAACCAAUCCUCAGUGAAAGAAGUCUUCUGCAUGGUAUCCCUUACCAAACUGUAAUACUGAAACACUUCGGGCACAUUUCCACAGAAAUGCUAAGGGCCGGAUCUGCCACAAAACUGCACUGCCUACUCAUCUGCAGCACUUCCCUCAACCUAAGGCGUACUGUUGGGACUUUGGGAAGCAGAGCACCACGUUACAGUUCAGUUCUUCACAUUAUGUUUUGUGAAUAAACAGAAAAUUUAAGUCACUAGAGAUCAAUACAGCACUUUUCUAAAGGGCUUUAUGCAAUAUGCAUACCCUCAACUUUGCUAUGAGAAACACACUUGAAGAGCUGAGAAAUUCUACAUGAAGACGCCUUUACUUCAAGUAAUAACAGCACUUCAUUUUGGACUAUAGCUCCCCAAAAGGUGGAAAGCCUCUUAGCUCCCUCACCAGUAGAUAACAGGCUGAAAGAUUAGAAGACUGCUACAAAUCAGCAAAAAAAAGAUGCCAUGAAAUCACUGCUGAAAUAAACCACGUAUUUAAUUUC
Molecule: long non-coding RNA, 9143 nt
Organism: Numida meleagris (helmeted guineafowl)
Lineage: Eukaryota; Metazoa; Chordata; Aves; Galliformes; Numididae
Exons: 2
Source: RefSeq, a predicted model, not a curated record